This 506-nucleotide ribosomal RNA is filed under the name uncultured bacterium. Its description in RNAcentral is "partial 16S ribosomal RNA". It matches the Rfam family "Bacterial small subunit ribosomal RNA", at positions 29 to 523 of the family's 1533-position model. The record is from RNAcentral.
AGUGAACGCUGGCGGUAGGCCUAACACAUGCAAGUCGAACGGCAGCACAGGAGAGCUUGCUCUCUGGGUGGCGAGUGGCGGACGGGUGAGGAAUACAUCUGAAUCUACUCUGUCGUGGGGGGUAACGUAGGGAAGCUUACGCUAAUACCGCAUACGACCUACGGUUGAAAGCAGGGGAUCUUCGGACCUUUCGCGAUUGAAUGAGCCGAGGUCGGAUUAGCUAGUUGGCGGGGUAAAGGCCCACGAAGGCGACGAUCCGUAGCUGGUCUGAGAGGAUGAUCAGCCACACUGGAACUGAGACAGGGUACAGACUCCUACGGGAGGCAGCAGUGGGGAAUAUUGGACAAUGGGCGCAAGCCUGAUCCAGCCAUACCGCGUGGGUGAAGAAGGCCUUCGGGUUGUAAAGCCCUUUUGUUGGGAAAGAAAUCCAGCUGGCUAAUACCCGGUUGGGAUGACGGUACCCAAAGAAUAAGCACCGGCUAACUUCGUGCCAGCCGCCGCCGUAA